AUUGAACGCUGGCGGCAGGCCUAGCACAUGCAAGUCGAGCGGAUGAAGGGAGCUUGCUCCUGGAUUCAGCGGCGGACGGGUGAGUAAUGCCUAGGAAUCUGCCUGGUAGUGGGGGAUAACGUCCGGAAACGGGCGCUAAUACCGCAUACGUCCUGAGGGAGAAAGUGGGGGAUCUUCGGACCUCACGCUAUCAGAUGAGCCUAGGUCGGAUUAGCUAGUUGGUGGGGUAAAGGCCUACCAAGGCGACGAUCCGUAACUGGUCUGAGAGGAUGAUCAGUCACACUGGAACUGAGACACGGUCCAGACUCCUACGGGAGGCAGCAGUGGGGAAUAUUGGGCAAUGGGCGAAAGCCUGAUCCAGCCAUGCCGCGUGUGUGAAGAAGGUCUUCGGAUUGUAAAGCACUUUAAGUUGGGAGGAAGGGCAGUAAGUUAAUACCUUGCUGUUUUGACGUUACCAACAGAAUAAGCACCGGCUAACUUCGUG
Molecule: ribosomal RNA, 484 nt
Filed under: uncultured bacterium
Lineage: Bacteria
Description: partial 16S ribosomal RNA
Rfam family: Bacterial small subunit ribosomal RNA
Source: RNAcentral